This 449-nucleotide ribosomal RNA is filed under the name uncultured bacterium. Its description in RNAcentral is "bacterial SSU rRNA". It matches the Rfam family "Bacterial small subunit ribosomal RNA", at positions 329 to 792 of the family's 1533-position model. The record is from RNAcentral.
UACCAGACUCCUACGGGAGGCAGCAGUGGGGAAUAUUGCGCAAUGGGGGCAACCCUGACGCAGCAACGCCGCGUGCAGGAAGAAGGUCUUCGGAUUGUAAACUGUUGUCGCAAGGGAAGAAGACAGUGACGGUACCUUGUGAGAAAGUCACGGCUAACUCCGUGCCAGCAGCCGCGGUAAUACGGAGGGUGCGAGCGUUAAUCGGAAUUACUGGGCGUAAAGCACUCGUAGGCGGUAUGUCAAGUCAAGGGUGAAAUCCCCGCGCUCAACGUGGGAACUGCCUUUGAAACUGGCAAACUGGAGUGUGUGAGAGGAUAGUGGAAUUCCAGGUGUAGGAGUGAAAUCCGUAGAUAUCUGGAGGAACAUCAGUGGCGAAGGCGACUAUCUGGCACAUAACUGACGCUGAGGAGCGAAAGCGUGGGUAGCAAACAGGAUUAGAUACCCUGGUA